Long non-coding RNA from Homo sapiens (human), 2096 nucleotides. The record is from Ensembl. NCBI's taxonomy places the organism in Eukaryota, Metazoa, Chordata, Mammalia, Primates, Hominidae.
ACGGGAAGACAACGGAAAUCCAAGGAAAGCUACGAAGGCUGUUAUCAGAGAAAAAUUUCCUCGAAGCACUUUAGCUGUCACUUUGAAGUGUUAGUGACAUCCUUUGGCAGUGAUUAAAUGUGCCACAUGCCACUAAUCUUGUUUAGAAUCCUUAAAGAGGACAGCAGCCCUUACACAGGAUGCUUCGAUCUGAUGACGAUGGUGUUUAUGCAGUGAUGUGUGGCUCACAGGCACGUAUACAACACCAUCAACUCUUCCAUCUCAUACCUCAUCAGAGCUUUCCAUCUGAUCCCAUUUGGAGAAGGAUAUCACACCUGAGGAAUCCACGUGUAAGCUAUUGCUCUUGUAUGAGUUCAGGUGCACACGCACUGUGGACGCACACUGCACUGUGCCCCCCAACGGCUGACAACGUGGAGCCGGGAUGCAGGAGCAUCCGCCUUCUCCAAGCUUCUCUCCCACCUCUCACUGUGAUACUGAGCAGAACUCCCCAAAGAAAAAUCAUUUCUCAACUGUGAAACUAGGGAAGACUAACCAGAUGUGAUAGCACACUGUAUUCUGAUCGAAAGUGAACUAUUCUUCCAUCAUAUUGGUCAAGCUUUCAAAAACACUUACCUAUACUUCAGGGCGAAAGAUUCUCAGCAUCCUCUAACAAAUGUUUGCCUCAGAACCAUUGAAAAGAAAAGGUUUAGAAUUAAUGACAGAGAACAAUGUACCCACAGCUGCAUUUUGCUCUUUUGAAAAUUAGAUAUUUUUCUGCAGAUAAUACUACAGAACCACAAUAAAAGUUAUCAUCAUGCUUCACAUCUAGUAAUGAACGUGAAACAAGCACCCUCGAAUAGCUGCAUCGAGCAUGAAAGGGCACGGGCCCCACUGCCGGCCGGGUGAAUUCUAGACGGGCCCCACUGCCAGCCGGGUGAAUUCUAGCAGAUACUUCACCCAAAAUGCUUCAGUGUGCAUCAAACUGACACGAGCUCCUACACAAUCACAAUAUAAUUUACUCGCCUGAGAGAUUCAGUACACAAUGUCCCCAGUUUCCCCCCAAUAUCCUUAAACUGAUUUAUUCUGCACAAUUCCAUCACAAAGUUUUUCACUUAUUUGUCGAAUCUCAACAGUAUUCUUGAAUGAAGUAUCCUCCAGUUUUUGUUGCUGUUUAGACAUUUACAUUUAUGAACAAAGAGUUCAGGGCAGCUGCUCUGUAGAAUGUUUCAUAGUCUGGACUGAUUUCGUGGUUUCUUCAUAAUUAGAUUAGGGUAAAAUAUUUUUAGCUGCUGUACAUCACGUUAGGAGACCUGUCAUGUCAACUUGCACCAUUGUGGGAGACACUCGCUUCUGCCUGCCGGGUCGCCUUUGUGAAGAUAACCUUUCCCAUCGUAAUUAAUAAGUAGGAUGUGGGGCAAUAGCUCCUCAACCUUUCCCCUCAUGGCUUUAGCACUUAUAAAAAAUGUAAAAAAAAAUAUCAGGUGUCCAUUUUCAAGGCUGAGGGUGGGGGAAGAAUCUAAUUAACUUUGAACAGCACCUGGAUGGCAGAAUCCCUCUAGACACUGACAACCCACCGCAACCCCAAACUUUACAACUAUUUCACCCAACUCUUUUCAACAGAAGUUCUCAUUUUUGUUCAUAUAUAUUGAAUAUUUCCAAACUAUUCAAUUUACCUUCCACAGAAAUUGCUCCUUUUUAUUACUCAAAGUUCAUCGGAUCAUAGUAAUUAAUGAUCAUACUUCAGUGUAUCUAGGGUAAGACUGACUACAAGGUACAUCAGUAGUUUACAUGCCCUACAGGAAGAAAACACCAAGGACACAUAACAAGCAUCACUGCACCACCCACAACUGAUGUUGGUGACAACGUGCAGACACAAUAUUUGCACCCGGAGUCAGUGAAAUGUGGUGAAUGAUGUCAUGUGUGCAAAGUAGUACAAACAGGUCAGGGAACAAACAGAGCGGACUCCUGGGAACCACGUGUAUCUCCAGUGGCUGCCAACUCAGGCCGGUCUGCAGAGGAUUCUGCCACAGCCUGGGCUGGAGGCUACACACCUGGCUGGUGGAUCUGAGACAGAGCAGGGCGGGUAACUGAAGACCAGGCUGGAAAGGUUCUAGCUU